GGACUGGCGAUGGACGAGUCUUGUGGGAGGGAGCUGUCGAAGUGUAUUGGGCGUAAAGAGCUCGUAUGCAGGCGGCUUGUCAGCGUCGGUAGUCGUGUGAAUCGAAGAUCCCCGGGGCUUAAGCUUCGUUAGCAACCCCGGGUCUGCAGUCGAUACGGGCAGGCUAGAGUUCGGUAGGGGAGAUCGGAAUUCCAGCUGAUCGAUCUGGUGUAGCGGUGAAAUGCGCAGAUAUUCAGGAGGAACACCGGUGGCGAAGGCGGAUCUCGAUCGAUGAUCGGGCCGAUACUGACGCUGAGGAGCGGAAAGCGUGGGGAGCGAACAGGAUUAGAUACCCUGGAAGCUGAUCUAGUCCACGCCGUAAACGGUGGGCCACUAGGUGUUGGGCAACAUUCCACGUUGUCCGUGCCGAGCUGAUCCAGCUAACGCAUUAAGUGCCCCGACCUGGGGAGUUACGGCCGCAAGGCUAAAACUCAAAGGAAGCUGAUAUUGACGGGGGCCCGCACAAGCUGGCGGAGCAUGUGGCUUAAUUCGACGCAACGCGAAGAAAGCUGAUCCUUACCAAGGCUUGACAUACUACCGGAAACGGUCUGGAGACAGGCGCCCCCUUGUGGUCGGAUGCUAUGUACAGGUGGUGCAUGGCUGGUCGUCAGCUCGUGUCGUGAGAUGUUGGGUUAAAGGCUUAGUCGUCCCGCAACGAGCGCAACCCUUGUCCCGUGUUGACCACGCAAGCCCUUCGGGGAGCUGAUUGUUGGGGACUCACGGGAGACCGCCGGGGUCAACUCGGAGGAAGGUGGGGACGACAGCUGAUGUCAAGUCAUCAUGCCCCUUAUGUCUUGGGCUGCACACGUGCUACAAUGGGCCGGUAGCUACAAUGAGCUGCGAUACCGCGAGGUAGCUGAUCGGAGCGAAUCUCAAAAAGCCGGUCUCAGCUUCAGCUGGAUUGGGGUCUGCAACUCGACCCCAUGAAGCUGAUAGUCGGAGUCGCUAGUAGCUGAAUCGCAGAUCAGCAUUGCUGCGGUGAAUAGUUCCCGGGCCUUGUACACACCGCCAGCUCGUCACGUCACGAAAGUUCGGUAACACCCGAAGCCGGUGGCCCAACCCCUUGUGGGAGGGAGCUGUCGAAGUGGGACUGGCGAUGGACGAGUCGGCUUGUCAGCGUCGGUUGUGAAAGCCCGGGGCUUUAUUGGGCGUAAAGAGCUCGUAGGC
Molecule: ribosomal RNA, 1206 nt
Filed under: Streptomyces coelicolor
Lineage: Bacteria; Bacillati; Actinomycetota; Actinomycetes; Kitasatosporales; Streptomycetaceae
Description: bacterial SSU rRNA
Rfam family: Bacterial small subunit ribosomal RNA
Source: RNAcentral